AACAGCUCUGGCACCCUCUCUCUCUCUCUCCGGCUGCUCCCUUAUGGGUUUUCGACAAUGACGAGUCGCACUCUUCUUGUCUUGUGCGCGUUUCAUCUCGCUACUGGCUUUCGCAUGGAAUGCAGCUUAGACGCUCUCAUUAGCUCAAUAACUGAGGUAAUCAUUUAUAAGGCUAUCAAUGUCGUCAAUAAUCGUAAUUACAUACAUAUAUAAUCAAUUAAAAAUUUGUAUAAUUUGGCAAACGUCGUCUCCGCGGGUUCAGCGACCUUUUGAACUUGAACUAUAGCGAUCUGCAGCUCAGGAUAUAUGGCAGUGGAUGACGCGCUGUUUACUACGCUUCUGAUGAAGAAAUUCCCGUGAUUUCGAUGCAAACUGUCAUCAAAAUUCUGCCGAACAAUGAGAGCGAGCAAUUUUUUUGGAAAUCGCUUCAUUUGCUGAUAAUCGAAGGUAAAGUUCAGGCCCCAGACGUCAUAAAGUCAGCGCAGAUAACGACUUUUGAAAAAUAAAAACUAAUUUGUUUUGAUUGGUCAUAGUCGCACAAUAAAGGGAAAAUACCUAUUUAAGUCAAGGACAUGCGGCAAAACAGAGCCAAUGAAAAUUGUAUACUGAAGAGUCUAACAGAUAAAGAUAUACUAACUAGGAAGGAGCUCAACAACUAACUAGCAUAUUUCGAUAUAGAGGCUCGAAGAUACAUUGACAUUGACGAUGUGCAUGGUUUCCGGGAAAGAUAAAUAUCCUGCGGAGGAUGGCAUUAUUUAGGGUCUUGGGCUGGAUCUUCCUUCCCUGGAUCGCUUUAGCCAUGCUCAGACGCCCGUUAAUUUCUCAGCUGGGGUCCAACGUUAACUAGCUUUGGCAACCGAUGACAACAUCGUCGGCAUCGGAGAUACAUACAUGUCCCAACUACCUGGAGGCACUCGGAAGCGCCAUAAAAGUGCCGUAAUGAAAUCAUAAAUUACGCACCAGCGGAAAUACAGCCAAGAAAAAAAAAACACAAACAAAAAAACGCAUAAAAAUAUAAAUAAAAAAAAAAUAAAUAACCAUUCAGACAAUGCGCGCGCCUGCCACAACGCGAAAUGCAUUAAUAUUGAAGCUGAAGCAGAAGUCGACGCUGGAGAUGGAGAUUUUGAGGUGGAGAUGAGGAUGGGGCUGCGAUUGGGGCUGGGUCCCUCACAGCAUACAUACAUAUAUAUGUACAGACAUAUGCAUAAGUAUAACCGGAAUCGGAAUCGUAAUAAGACUCGGAUUGAACCGGCAUAAGAAAAAUGUUGACAAAAAUGAUUUUAAUUGUUUGUAGCAAACGUUGACACCGCCAGCAGCUGCGGCAGUGACAGCUCGGGGAUCGGCUUGGAAUUUGUCCUUAACGGUUUCGGAGUCUGGAGAUGAAUCCAAGAUUACCGAUGUACUACUAGGUACAUCCAUUUGUAUGCAGAUGCAAGCAGCCGAAACGGAGAAGGAUUGUCAGCGCACAUUGUCGGUCUUAAGCCAAUUAAUAACGACCAUAAACAUAAACUGUGAUUAAAACGCAACAGUUUGGGACACGGGAAGCCGAGUGCCGGCCUGGCCACGGGCAGAGGGUAAAGAGUACCGAGCACCGAUCACCAAGUACCAAGUAUCGAUGAUGCGUCACAGUCAGUGCACUCCAAAGGUCGUACGCUGAACCCACGGCUGGGAGCCAGACCAGCAGAGAUGGAAUGAAACGAGACCACAGACCAGAGACCAGAGACCAGGCCAUACCAGACCCGACCCAAAGCAGAGCCAGAUUGUUGUGUGAAUCACGGCGCGUGCUGUUAUUGUUACUUUUUGAAUCAUUUCGUUUGUUUUUGGGUUCUGUCGAUUUCUACAUACUAUAUAGGGGGGCAUUCAUAAAAGUCACAAAUACUUAAUAAAUAUUUAAAUAAAAUGUCUUUUUAAUCAAUUA
Drosophila pseudoobscura is the source of this 1918-nucleotide long non-coding RNA. RefSeq lists it as uncharacterized. The record is from RefSeq and is a predicted model, not a curated record. NCBI's taxonomy places the organism in Eukaryota, Metazoa, Arthropoda, Insecta, Diptera, Drosophilidae. The transcript has 2 exons.